AAAUAACAAAUGAUUCCAUGGGAGCAUAUCUAUAAUGACGGUACUCGACGAGUUAAAUCAGUUUUUCCGCUUGUGAUAGUCCACGGCUGUUAUUAUCACUAUAACAAAGCAGUGUGGGGUAAAGCUAAAGAACUCGGUAUCACAAAAUCAAAUCAUCCAAGUAAAAUACGAGAAGUACAGCUAAGCGCUGAACUUCCAUUGUUUCCAGCAACUAAAAUUAUGAAAGGUUGGUCAUACAUUACACGCAAACCCUGUGAAGAUGAAAAUAUAAAAAAAAUCCGAACGUAUAUGGAAAGACGACUUAGGUGACUACUCAUCCGCAAAAUAUUUCAUCCGCGGAUGAAACGUUACUCUUUUAAAAUUGUAAGGCGACGAAUCAUCCGCAACUUCGGAUGAGUCGUUGCAUAGUUAACAUUGAUGUGGUCAUAUCGGCCAAAUAGACGAACAAACAUAUUUUGUGUAUAGGAACAUUGUCUGUUCUUUAGUUUCAUCGGUUUCACUAGCUGCUAUGAGUAAUAAAGCGAACAAAAAUACUUCUAUGCAUAAGAAUCGUUUUUAUUAAGAAUAUAAUUUUUUAUACUGGUGAAUCAGAAUAAUAAGCAAUUUCCCUAAACAAAUGACAGGUAGUUACUGUUUUACUGCGAAAAUUGAGUUAAUGUUAUAAAUAUGAAUACAUUUCAAUAGUUUGGUAAUACUUAAAUAACCAAAUAUUUACGACUACCGACGUUUUGUGCAACUUGUAUCAGCGGUUUGAAAAACGAAAGAUUUGAGGGUAUUUAGAAAAUAAUUGAGACAAGCUAAGUUGUUUUGUCAUGAAUAUAUUUUGUUAGCCAGUGUACGUUAAGUUGACAGAGUGUACGUUCAUCUAGUUAAUUACUACAUAUUAUAGUCAAUUAAUUAAUAAUAGAAUUGAAUAAAGUUUUUAUGUUCCGGUGCGUGGGAAUAAACUGAGUUUUCAUAUUCCAUGCGGGUGAUUGAGCUGCCUUGAGGUCAGAUAUUUUAUUAUUACCUAUCCAAGAAAAAUAAAACUCAAAACAUUGUAACAUUGUUUAGUUUCUAUUUUAGAAUCACAAUUAUGGACAAGGAAAAUACGCGAAUUAAAAUGAUUUCUUCGCAACGAGGAGGAAAUCUUUUAAUGGAAGGAAACUAUCGUUAUUAUAAAAAACGUGAAAAUAAAAACGGACAUAUAGUUUGGCACUGUGCUUCACAAAAUUGUAAAUCUAAUUUGGUUACUAACUAUGAUUGUAACCUUAUACUGAAAGAAAAACUUCAUAGUUGUCAGUCUAGUAGUUUAGAUAACCAAUUAUUGGAGAAAAUUGACGAAUGUUUAGAAAGAGCAAAAACUGAAAGUACUCCUAUACCAACAAUUUAUAAAGAGGCGGUAGAAAAAUUAGAGUCUACAGGAUUAGACUUAAUCAUAAAAAUACCAAAAUACAACAAUUUCAAGAAAAGAAUGUAUAAACUACGUAAUAAAGAACUGCAAACUAAAAAGGUGCGAUUUUUUAAAUUGAAAGAUGUUACAGUUCCUGGUGUUCACAAAAACUUUUUACUUGCUGAUUAUAGCGAAAAAAGUGACAGGAUAUUACUGUUUGCUACUGAAGAAUCCAAAGAAAUUCUCAAGAAAGCUAAACAUGUUUUUUGCGAUGGAACAUUUAAAGCCGUUGUACCUCCCUUUAAGCAGUUGUAUACGUUACAUGUUGACAUGGGCAGUACUUAUACACAUACGAAUAUUAUACCAGCAGUUUAUGCCUUAUUGCCAAAUAAAAAGCAAUCAAGUUAUGAAAUUUUCUUCCAUCUCUUAAAAAGCCAAAUUCCCGAAUUUGAUCCUGAGUCCAUCACUACUGAUUUUGAAACCAGUGCAAUGACAGCAGCUAAAGCUGUAUUUGAUAAAGUAACUACUCGAGGGUGUAUAUUUCAUUUUAAAAAAGCUGUCCAAAAAAAAGCUAAAGUGAUUGGAAUUACAAAAAAAUCAAACAUGUCAAGGGCUCACGUGAGCCGUUGUAUGGCGUUGGCAUAUCUCCCAAAUAUUGAAGUUUCAGAUGGUUGGCUUUAUGUAUUGGGUGAAUGUAUACAAAAUGAUGAUAAAACAGCGCAAUUUAACCAUUAUUUUCAAAAUACCUGGCUAGAGAAGAAAUCUGUCUUGUCUGAUAAAUGGUGUUUUUAUAAUAUCCGGCACAAAACGAAUAACGCUAUAGAAUGGUGGAACUCGAAACUGAAUAGGACAAUAAAAAGCAAACCUAACAUAGCCGUUUUAUUAAAUACUCUUAAAAAAGAUGCCAAAUAUCAUUCUAAUCUGUGGAAAAAUCAAGGAUUUAUUUCAAAGAGAACGGAAGAAAGUAUGGUGAGGGAAAAAAAAAUUAAUAACAGUUUGCGAGAGUUUAUUGAUAAUGAAAUUAGCCUCGGACAUUGUAUAGAGAAAUUAUCAUAUUAGUGAUACAGAUCGUUUACAAUAUUUCGUAGCAGUUCAUUUUUUGAUUAUAAACCUAAAUACUAAGAAGGUUUAAAUUAUUUCGAUUAAUAUUUUGUAACAUAUGUAAAAAUGGAUAAUUCUUAAUAACAAUCUAUUUAGAUUUACUCAUUUUUGUAACAUUAACUCAAUUUUCGCAGUAAAACAGUAACUACCUGUCAUUUGUUUAGGGAAAUUGCUUAUUAUUCUGAUUCACCAGUAUAAAAAAUUAUAUUCUUAAUAAAAACGAUUCUUAUGCAUAGAAGUAUUUUUGUUCGCUUUAUUACUCAUAGCAGCUAGUGAAACCGAUGAAACUAAAGAACAGACAAUGUUCCUAUACACAAAAUAUGUUUGUUCGUCUAUUUGGCCGAUAUGACCACAUCAAUGUUAACUAUGCAACGACUCAUCCGAAGUUGCGGAUGAUUCGUCGCCUUAUAAUUUUAAAAGAGUAACGUUUCAUCCGCGGAUGAAAUAUUUUGCGGAUGAGUAGUCACCUAAGUCGGAAAGACAGUGGCUCAAAGAAGAGUUCAUGAAUGUAUGGAGUGUAUAUGGUCAACAGCAUCGAACUACAAAUUAUAUAGAAGGUUGGCACAACAAGCUUAACCACGAAAUUGGCAUGAAACAUCCGAACCUCGUGCAUUUACUGAGUGUUUUGCGACAAGAUUCUUCAUAUUCUAAUGUUUGUAACAGCAGAAUCAAACAGAAAAAUCCGUUAAAAGAAAGAAAGGCUACACAGAUAUUUAGAGAUGAAUUCAUACAAGAAAUUCAACUCGAGUUUGUUCAUGGAGAAAUGACAGGGGGACAUUUUCUAGAAACUUUACGACACUAAUUGUUACGAUUCUUUCUGUGAUUUAUAAUUAUAUAUAAUGGUUCUUUCUGUAUUUUCUAGAUUUUGAGAUUUUGUGUAAUUUAAUUAUUGUAAAUACUGUGAUUAAUCUGUGAUAAUAAUAUAUCUUAACUAAGAAUUGUUUUACGAAUACUGCAUAACGAUUAAGUGUAUGAUCGACGAUAGUACCUAACGUAACGAAAAAGUCUGAUUUUAUCUGUAUUUUAAUGAUGUAGGUAUUAGAAUAUUUUUGUUAUAAUAUUUAGGGUCUCUUUCACCACCUUCAAGUAAAGUGUUGAUUAGUUACUUGUCAAUUAACGUUACUUGGCAAGUAAAACUUACAAGUAACUUCAGUGGAUUUCACAAGCGAAAUUAAAGCUCUGAGUAACUACUUGCCGGUUUAUUGAACGAUGUCACAAACCGUACAUUACAUUCGUUCAUUAAUACGUCAACGUUACUCGACAGACGUCAUCAUUGGCGAUUUAUCUGUCAUUAGCGACUUGUGAGAGCGUAUUUUGUGUUUGUUUUGUUGUUGUUUUCUUAUUAUUCGUCCUCGUCGCCAUGGAAAAAACCAAAAGAGAUAGGAGCGCAAACUUUUCUCUCCACGAGAGAGACAUUUUGGUGUCCCUGAUCCAAAAAUAUAAAAGUAUUUUAGAAAAUAAACAAAGCGAUGCUUCCACUUGGAAACAGAAAGAAGCUGCGUGGAAAGCCAUUCAAAAUGAUUUUAAUGCUAGAUCUGGAGGGACAUUCCGGACAACAAAGACGCUAAAAGUAAAAUAUGAGGGCCUCAAAAGAACUGUGCGGAAAAAGUCCGCUGCGAUACGCUCGGAGCUCUACCGCACCGGAGGUGGCCGCAACACGGCGCCUCCGCUAGACAACGUCGAGGAGCAAGUUAAAUCAAUGAUUUCUUUGAGCACCGACGGACUGCAUAGCAUUUAUGACUCAGAUGUCAUACAAGAAAAUCAAGGAACUCAAGGUGAGUUAUAUGGUUGUUUUUAAACAUACAAACUUGCAAUAAGUACUGAACUUCGUAUUUUAGUAUCGGGAAUGUACUAAAUUUCAUAAUUAUUGAAAUACAAACAAUUAUAAUAUGCUUUUAAUGCCUUUUUACAGACAACAUCAAUGUUCCUGAUGAACAAGUGGAGAUUUCCAUGAUAGAUGUACCCGAGAUUGUAGAAAGUACUACUUCUCAAAACCAAAUUGUGGUGCUAGUAGCUAAUGAGUGUGAACCAUUACCAGCCACUAGCAGUGCAGCAGACAUGGUUGAAACAGAAAAAAAUUUAGAAAGCAUGGAUAGUAUGUAUUGAUACGGAUUUUAAUAUUUUACUUUUGUAAACUUGAUAUCAGUAAUUAGAUUAUUGCAUUACAUACUCAACCACUCUAGCAAGACUAUACUGGUCCUGUCAUAUUGCUUAUCAGACAUUGCUGAGAUAAUUACAUUACAUAUUAUACAUAAUUGAAACACUACUUGCUUCGAUUAUGUCUACAUGUGUAGUAAGUUUUCUAAAAUUUAUUAUUUUUGUUGCAGACAGCGCUUUGCUUGACAGCGACACUCCUAAGAGGAAGAGUGUCAUAAUACCAAAUUCAAAAAAAACAUGGGAUGUCACAAGUAGAAAAAAUUUAAAAUCAAAGAAACAUCCUGCACUGAUUGGUAAGACAUAAUAGAAUUUCCCCUAUACUUAUUACUUAUACUCUUUGAAUAGAAUAUCAAAGUUUAUACAUGACAGUAGACACAAAUACUGCUUUUACCAUAUCUUUAGUAGAUACUAGGUACAUAGUAAAGGUACCAUGUUAAGUGGUCAUAAUUAUGUCACCAUUUCAACCUGUUUUAAAUUUCAAUACUGUUUUUGUUACAGCAAAUGUACCAAAAAGGACAUUAAUUGAUGAGCUGACUCAGGCAAAAUUAGAAUUAGUUCAGCUUCAAAAACAAAUUUUAGAAGAAGAAAUUGUAUAUAAAAGGAAGGUAUGGGAG
Molecule: non-coding RNA, 5244 nt
Organism: Spodoptera litura
Lineage: Eukaryota; Metazoa; Arthropoda; Insecta; Lepidoptera; Noctuidae
Source: RefSeq, a predicted model, not a curated record